CUACCGGGGUAUCUAAUCCCGUUUGCUCCCCUGGCUUUCGUGCCUCAGCGUCAGGAAAUGUCCAGAGACUCGCCUUCGCCACUGGUGUUCCACUUGAUAUCUACGCAUUUCACUGCUACACCAAGUAUUCCAGUCUCCCCUCCAUUCCUCCAGUCGGACAGUUUCCAAUGCCGUUCCGCAGUUAAGCUGCGGGAUUUCACAUCAGACUUGUCCAACCGCCUACGCACCCUUUACGCCCAGUGAAUCCGAACAACGCUCGGGACCUCUGUAUUACCGCGGCUGCUGGCAC
This 289-nucleotide ribosomal RNA is filed under the name uncultured Verrucomicrobiota bacterium. RNAcentral describes it as "uncultured Verrucomicrobia bacterium partial 16S ribosomal RNA". The record is from RNAcentral. Lineage: Bacteria; Pseudomonadati; Verrucomicrobiota.